CCCACCUGAUUCCAUGCCGAACUCAGAAGUGAAACACAAUAGCGCCGAUGGUAGUGUGGGGUUUCCCCAUGUGAGAGUAGGACAUCGCCA
This 90-nucleotide ribosomal RNA is filed under the name Vibrio splendidus. The record is from RNAcentral. Lineage: Bacteria; Pseudomonadati; Pseudomonadota; Gammaproteobacteria; Vibrionales; Vibrionaceae.